Molecule: long non-coding RNA, 821 nt
Filed under: Pan troglodytes (chimpanzee)
Lineage: Eukaryota; Metazoa; Chordata; Mammalia; Primates; Hominidae
Description: lincRNA
Source: RNAcentral
UCUUUCCACCUCGCGGUAGACUCCGGGGCCACCCGCAGCACGCAGAGCUUCUGGGAGCCGGUGGCAAGGCCGAAUUGGGAUGCAAACCAAACGGACGUGGGUGACUGGCAGAAAAAGCCUCCCACAAAUGGGAGGGAUUUCGGAGGGAACCGAAAGAAAGUUGGAAACCAAGUUACAGCUGAAGCCAGGGCCUUCUCCUACCCGACUCCCACGGCCCAUUAAAACCUACGUGAGCUUAUCUGAUAUCUUCAAGCCCUGUUUUGUGGCCCCAUCUCCUCUUCAGAUGGCAAUGUGCCUAGCUACACUACAUUUCCCGCCUCCCUUGCAGCUAGAGGUGGCCAAUGAGAUAUAAACAGAUACUGUAAGACAUGAUGUCUAGAUCCCUAGCAGUCAUCCCAGACCAUGAGAUAACUUUGAGAAGGAACACCAUGUACAAAGGACUGUGCAGAAGAGGGUUGGCAGGAGCCUGGAUCUCUGAUGACUUCACCCUUGACCGCCCACCUCACCAGGCUGUACAAGCCACUGUUACUGGCAGAUGAAUGCAAGUUCUAAAACAUACAACUACUGACCUACUGAAUUUUCCAAGGAGCACAUUUCCACUGGAGACAUUUGGUGCCUGCAGAAAAUACUUACUGAGGAAUUUCUAUGGGACCAGCCUGAAGUAGAAGCCACUGAAGAGAGGCCCUGAAGCAGCUUUUCUUCCUUAUCCCAGAGACCAACAUGGUUACCCCAGCCCAGAGUCACCCUCCUUCCUCUAAGCUGUCAAAACCCUGGCUGCCUUUACAAUGAUUCUGACAAUGAAUCCCACCCUGCUGGUGAUG